RNAcentral lists this long non-coding RNA (3424 nucleotides) under Monomorium pharaonis (pharaoh ant). RNAcentral's name for it is "uncharacterized LOC118645907, transcript variant X2". The record is from RNAcentral. Lineage: Eukaryota; Metazoa; Arthropoda; Insecta; Hymenoptera; Formicidae.
UAAACAUCUUAAAUUAUUUUUUUUUCUUUGAUUUUUCAGUUUUUUUAUCAUCUUAUUUGUUACGUCCUGGGGGGGGGGGAGUAACCGGGGCCGAGCGUGAACCGUGAUUCCCCAGGAGCGUAAUUUACUGAGUGCGAGUUUGUGGGUAAAAAAAAAAUGCAUCCGCUUAUGGAAUAUGUAUAUAUUUUUUCUUUUAUUAUUUUAUAAAUGUUCCUCCGCCUGCUUUCCUCGUUUUGGAGGUGGUGCUUUAGGAAAAGAGUUUAGGCCAAAAAUAAUAAAAAAAAAAGAGUACCUCUUUUCAUUUGUGGGUACUUUUCGGAUGCUAGUGAGAGGAAGAGCGUACAAUUUGCGACAAGGUGUAGAAAGCGUGAGGGGGAGCGCCCAGGGAGGGCGCAACAAAUCCCACGCCAAGGAAAGAUGGGGCGUUUGUGACGGAGAGCGCCCUAUGGGCUGCCCUGUGGUACACAGUUAGGUAGAGGGACGACGUAGGGGGUGAAAAGCGCCUUAAUAGGCGCCCGUUGUCUCCUGGACACCUUCUAACUUAAGCGCCCCGGUAGGCACCCCUGGCCUGAAGUUCAGGGAAGAAGCAGGCGCCUAAGUCGUAGCGCCCUGCUUCCAGGAUGAGGAUUCAGGGAAGUCGCUGUUUCGCUUCAGAAUAUUUUUGGGAGCACCGAGGAUGGUUUGCCCCGUAUUUUGCCCCACUUAAUUUAAUAAUUCUCGCGCACAAUAAGGUAAUACAAGUAAGAAAUUUUCUUUUAGUCACUAGGUAUAUAAUUUUUAUUAUAGUUUAUAUUGAGCAGAAUAAAGUAGAGUGAGUUUACACUUAAUCGAUUUUUUUUUUAUAACAAUUUUUAUAAGAGUGAAUUUACGGCGUUUGUAGAUAAAAGAGAUGUUACUUACGCACUGUAGCGUUUGCUUCUUGUAUCAAGAAUUCAAUGGACACAGCGUAGUAUACUUAGUAAUCGACUUCUUAAGAGCGCGAUGGCUAAUAACAAUUGAUAGUACUUCUUUUGGGCAGAGUAACGUCUUGCCAGAGCGUAUGCUUGCAGGCAGCGUGACUUGCUAUACGAGCGAAAAUGCUGAUUUCUGAGGCUCUCGCGCUCCUUAUAUACCCCAAAACUAGGGGGUCCUAGGGGUACGCGGGUGUAGGGAAGCUCAAAUCCAUGGAAAAAUCCGCGACAAAUAGCUAUUAUUUUUGAAAUUUCAUAGUUUCUAAUUUUUAUUCGGUCAUUCAUAAAUCAUUCAUAAACUUCGGUCAAGAGGUAGCCAGGGUGGUUAGCGUUCGAAUGCUUCCUUCGCCUUCCUCCUAUCACCUCUGUGAGCGGAGUAAUUAAACCGCAUACCUUCGUAAUUACUUUACUCAUGUUAUCUCGCUCAUACUUCCCGGUUGGAAUAAUGCUCGAGCCAUUGCUAUCCCACUUGGUACACGCGCUCCGCGGCUGGACCGACUCUUCGGCAGCGCGAGGGUGUCACGCGUGAACCGCAUGGUUGAAAAAUAUUCACAUUAUUCCAGGUUGUUAAUAAUGUGAAAGAGCUAUAGCAUGACUGCGACGGAUUGCAGUAAUAUUAAUUAACAAAGGAGUUGGGGGGUGGCGGUUGCACCCUGUCGUUAAUAGCAAAUAGAAAGGUGACGAAAGAAUAUUACUCUUUUAGCGAAAUUUUUAAUUAUACGCGGCAUGAUUCGAUGGAUUUGAGCUUUGACAAUUGAGGUAAUAAUUACGCACGCAAUAAUAAUAAAAUUAAUAAAGAGUGUAAGCGUAGGGUGUACGCGCUGAUACCCCGCGCGUCUGAUUUCGUGGGGAGGGGAGCGCUCGGUAAGACGGGUGCUCCGGCGGAGCACGCGAGAGCGUGGUGCGCGACGUGAGAUAAGAUGAGUGAAAAAUUUUCAUUGAACGUAACAGUAUUCUUUUCUUUUAAAAGAUUCCCUUGAUUUUGGCUCUUCUUUAAUUAUUCGACAAUUACGAUCUACUAUCUUUUUUCUUUUUCCUUAUUUUCAAAAUACAUUUGUACUUGAACCAAUAAUUCAUCAAAGCCAUCAUCGAAUUCUAUUGAGCGGACAUAGCAACUCCCAGGGAGCUCUGUGCGAAUUUUUUGGAAGCUUAAAUGAAGCUUAUAAAAAAUUUUGUGAGUUUCUUGGGAGCUCCCCGUGCUGUGUGGGUAAUAUAAUGCUGUAUAAUUCAAUAUGGGUUUAUAAAUAUCUUGGUAUAAUUUGUGACGUGGUAGCUUAGCUGCCACGGGUAGCAGCGUCCCUCCCCCGUCACAGGCUGCAAAUUCGCGCCGUACGGGGAAAAUAGGCGAGAGGCGAGAGGGGAUUUCCAGGGGGAACCGCGACGGACCGAGCGAGCUUAUUAUUAAUGUUACAUAUUUUUGAUUUCUUUGCGCGGCGACCGUCUCUCGAUGGAAUUCGGCGAGAGAGCGAGAGAGAAGGAGAGUGAGGGACGGCGAUGCAGGGAAGGAGGAAGGACGCCACCGGUGCCCGGGAGAAACGAGCACGCGGCCCGCACGGGAACUCGGCGUGGCCCUGGGAAAGCCACGGCCGGAGCCUAAAGCGGCGGUGCCCGCCAACACCACGGCGGAAUAUCUCGGAGGGCUGUGGAGGAGCCCGGAUGGGACCAAACGCGUCGAGGGAGGCGUCAAGUCCUCUCGCGAGGAACGGAGGUCUCCGCGUGCGCUGCCCCGGCUCGGGAAGUGGCCCAGCGGGAGAAAGAAAAUUUCGCGGGGGCCUGCGAGGCCCCCGGAAGGAUUACGGCGCGCACGUCCCUGCGUACGCAGGACUGCGUGCCUUGCAGCAAUUGGGUUACGGCGCGAAAACAAUGCGCAUGACCGAACGGGGGGUCGCGGCGUCGAUCCGGGAUCGACCGCGAUCCACCCCGCUUUUGCGUGCGAGCGAGCUAGAAGUAAGGUCGCGUGUCGUGCCCCGAAGGGCUAGUUAUCGGUGUGGCUGGUGAGAGGCCUCAGCGAGAGCCCAGAGACGAGCCUAGAGACGAGGGAGGACAUCGCCUUGGACGUUAUCGAUUAACUGAUGGACAUUUGUUUAGAAGGAGAAUGGCAAUAAGACAUACAUUGUAACCUAUUUAAUAAUAACGAAUUUUGCGUGAGUGAUUAUAACACCUCUUACGUAAACGUUUUUGAUCAACGAAGAAUGACGAUGCCACUGUAUAAUUUGUGUCCUAAUCAUCUGGUACGUCGCAUCCCCGUUGAAAAGAUUCAGAUGGAAAUAUAUAUAUUUUGAAGAACAAAAAGACAAUGACUAUAUAAUUGCUAAAUAUAAUUACAAUGGAACAGCAAUUCUUACAUCUUAUGAUGGAGACAUCUUUUUAUUCGAGAAUCUAUUAAUGUGUGAAAAUUAUACUCAUACAUAUUGCGGCCGUACAGAUAGACGUAAUGAACGGGCAGUCAAUUUUUUUGGACCCAAAAGCGAAUA